UGGGACAGCCCUCCCCCUCCCCCUGGGACUCCAUGGCCUGUGCUGUCCUCCUGCCCAAGAAGCUUCCCUCUGAGGCAUCUCGGGUCCGGGUCCGUCCUGCUCACCCAGGGCCAGGAGCCCCCAGGAGGCCCACGGUGCACCCCCAGCCCAGGCGACAUCAACGGCCAGCCCCAUACGCGUGAGGAUUGCGGCACCAGGGGCGCUCAGGAUUGGGCCGGGCUGCUUCUCAGAAGAGGGGACAUUGAGCCCAAGCAGGCUGCACUCCUGCUUGGACGGAAGGUGCAUGGGUGGGGAGGGUAAUCACACCAAUAGAGACAUGGAUGGACUUGUGCAGAACAUAAAUACUCUCUUUGCUUAUGUCUAUGUUACUCAAAGGAACCAUGGAAAUAACAAAUUCCCAAUUACAAUGCAGUAAACUUUAAGAGGA
Molecule: long non-coding RNA, 427 nt
Filed under: Homo sapiens (human)
Lineage: Eukaryota; Metazoa; Chordata; Mammalia; Primates; Hominidae
Description: novel transcript
Source: RNAcentral